Danio rerio (zebrafish) is the source of this 99-nucleotide non-coding RNA. Ensembl annotates it as retinoid x receptor, gamma a. Its record names the gene rxrga. The record is from Ensembl. NCBI's taxonomy places the organism in Eukaryota, Metazoa, Chordata, Actinopteri, Cypriniformes, Danionidae.
GCCGUCCAGGACGGCGAAACGAGACAGUUUGCCACUAAACUGGACACUUCUUUCAUAUUCGUCCAAACAUGGAUAAUAACGACACAUAUCUCCAUCUCA